UCUCAGAAAAAGAAUUUUAGUCCAACCUAAAGUUACCUUAAUACAACUAUAUAUAAAUGCAACUUUAGAGCAACUCAAAUAAGGUACAGCCUGUUUGAGAUAGGAAACAACCUUUACUAACGGGUAAUCUAAUUAAUGCAACGUAAUCAAGUAGGCUUAAGAGCAGCCACCUUUUAAAAAGCGUUAAAGCUUAUAUAUAAGCCCAAUAAAUAACUAAAACCCCAUCGACCCCUUUAACCGUACUGAGUACUCCCAUACUUUUAUGGAACCUUUUAUGUUAAAACUAGUAACAAGAAGUAACCCUUCUCUUUGAUGCGAGCAUAAAUCAGUACGGACCCACCACUGAUAAUUAACAGACCCAAUAAAUAGUAACCCAACUAGAAAACCCUAUUAUACUCACCGUUAACCUAACACAAGAGCAUCUCAAGAUAGAUUAAAAGAAAAAGAAGGAACUCGGCAAACCAUUAAUCCCGCCUGUUUACCAAAAACAUCGCCUCUUGCUANNNNNNNAUAUAAGAGGUCCAGCCUGCCCAGUGACUUCUGUUUAACGGCCACGGUAUCCUAACCGUGCGAAGGUAGCGUAAUCACUUGUUUUUUAAAUAAAGACUAGUAUGAAAGGCAUCACGAGAAUUAAACUGUCUCCUUUUUCUAAUCAGUGAAACUAAUCUUCCCGUGAAAAAGCGAGAAUAAAAUUAUAAGACGAGAAGACCCUAUGGAGCUUUAAACUUACAGCAUUUGUUCUAAACUAAAAUAACACAUAUUCUACAUAUUGCCAUAAGUUUUAGGUUGGGGUGACCGCGGAGAAAAAUUAAUCCUCCACGAUGAAAUAGACUCAAUUCUUUAGUAAAAAGCCACAACUUAGCACAUCAAAACUCUUGACAUUUUUGACCCAAUAUUUUGAUCAACGAACCAAGUUACCCUAGGGAUAACAGCGCCAUCCAUUUUGAGAGCUCCUAUCGACAAAUGGGCUUACGACCUCGAUGUUGGAUCAGGGUAUCCCAGUGGUGUAGCCGCUACUAA
Molecule: ribosomal RNA, 1020 nt
Filed under: Phrynopus tribulosus
Lineage: Eukaryota; Metazoa; Chordata; Amphibia; Anura; Strabomantidae
Description: partial 16S ribosomal RNA
Rfam family: Bacterial large subunit ribosomal RNA
Source: RNAcentral